GGUGGGGUGGCCGAGUGGUUUAAGGCGGUAGUCUUGAAAACUGCUGUGCCCGAAAGGGUACCGUGAGUUCGAAUCUCACCCCCACCG
This 87-nucleotide transfer RNA is filed under the name bacterium. RNAcentral describes it as "tRNA-Ser". It matches the Rfam family "tRNA". Rfam says of the family: Transfer RNA (tRNA) molecules are approximately 80 nucleotides in length. Their secondary structure includes four short double-helical elements and three loops (D, anti-codon, and T loops). The record is from RNAcentral.